Long non-coding RNA from Homo sapiens (human), 1365 nucleotides. NCBI's taxonomy places the organism in Eukaryota, Metazoa, Chordata, Mammalia, Primates, Hominidae. The record is from Ensembl.
AGUGAGUGGAAAGUUCUGAGAGUCUGUGGCUCAGCCAUCGUGACUAUGUAACCAGUAUUGGUCGGUGGCCCAAGGUCUCUCUCCUUUCAGGGUUCAACCUCCAACCUUAUUUCUGCUUCCUUCAUGUUGGAAUUCACACUGUGAGAAUUGUUGUCAUCCUUUCUCUACGACUCCAAGAGAAACUUUAUACUGGAGGAAGAAUAUUCUACCACUUUGGGAUGCUUCCAAAGAAAUGGGAUACCAAAGGAGUGAACUUCAGGUCAUUGGAAGUGGCCAAGCUGGAGGGCGACCUAUGGAGACAUGACCUUCAGUUCUUCCUGAGAUCGAUAAAGCUUAAAAGAAAAGAAAAAGCCAACUCAGCUUGUGCGUGGAUCCUGGACCUUGCUCUAAUACAGACCCCGCUCCUGGAGUGUAAGCCAUGCUUGACGGCUCAGCUUUCUUGUCACUAAUGAGGUGGGAUGUGGUUGUGCAUUCAAAAUCUAGCAAGGACGAAGUGAGUGCACCACUGAUUAAACAUGGAGAGAAAUUUCUUUCCAAAGGGCUGUGUAAGAGGAGAAGCAGGAGAUGUAUGUAAGAUUUCUCAUUUGUGCAAUGCAUCCUCUGAACCACUGUGAUGCCACGGGCUGCUGAACUUUCCACAGGGGCCAUUAGGGACGAAAUCACACCGAUGGAAUGAAAGGGAAAAUAACCAAAGACAACAGCAACAGCUCAAAACACCAGAAAAAGCAGCAACACUAUAUCUAUCCGUCACUGGCCCAACUCGACAUCUGGAAAAGAACCCAGAGUAGCUGCCAACCAGAUGGCCCCUUGGUGACCGUGAAGCUGCAGCCUCUGACAUGAUAUGUAGAUAAAAGACGUCACGGGGAUAAGAGCUAGAGAAAGCUUUAACGAGAAGAGCUUAGACCAUUUUCAAAGCUCCUCCACAGUGCACGGAGGGGCCCAAAGCUGGCGGAGCGCUGGGCGACACGCUCCCGCUCGCACCAAGGCCUCGCUCUGAUGAGCUGGGCAAUUGGGAGACUGUUUGAACAAACCAAAGAAAAAUAUCAAAAGGCAAAUUGGAGUUAGGGAGAAAAUGAAUAGCCCAUGAUCUCCAAGGGAGAUUACAGAGGUAAUGACAAAGCAGGCAGGUUUUUAGAGGCGCUGUUAUUCCAAGAAAGGUAAUUUUGUUCAACUUAUUUUUUUUUUAACGGAAAAGAGGAUGAAGAGAUCAGCACUAGCUAAAUCAUCACUGUCAGAUAAAAGAUAAAUCUUUCAUUAGGAACCAUAUCUUUGCAUGCCCUUUUGACAUUGAAGAAUAUAUUUGAUGUAAGGAUUUGGGGCUUUAUCAAAACUAUAGUAUUCUAAAAUAAACAAAACCACAAUGUC